RNAcentral lists this ribosomal RNA (253 nucleotides) under uncultured bacterium. Its description in RNAcentral is "partial 16S ribosomal RNA". It matches the Rfam family "Bacterial small subunit ribosomal RNA", at positions 524 to 776 of the family's 1533-position model. The record is from RNAcentral.
UACGUAGGUGGCAAGCGUUGUCCGGAUUUACUGGGCGUAAAGAGCGCGCAGGCGGUCGUUCAAGUCGCGUGUGAAAGCCCCCGGCUCAACUGGGGAGGGUCACGCGAUACUGAUCGACUCGAAGGCAGGAGAGGGAAGUGGAAUUCCCGGUGUAGUGGUGAAAUGCGUAGAUAUCGGGAGGAACACCAGUGGCGAAGGCGGUGCUCUGGGCCGGAACUGACGCUGAGGAGCGAAAGCGUGGGGAGCAAACAGG